RNAcentral lists this ribosomal RNA (438 nucleotides) under uncultured bacterium. RNAcentral's name for it is "bacterial SSU rRNA". It matches the Rfam family "Bacterial small subunit ribosomal RNA", at positions 8 to 448 of the family's 1533-position model. The record is from RNAcentral.
AGAGUUUGAUCCUGGCUCAGAUUGAACGCUGGCGGCAUGCCUUACACAUGCAAGUCGAACGGCAGCACGGGGGCAACCCUGGUGGCGAGUGGCGAACGGGUGAGUAAUACAUCGGAACGUGUCCUGGAGUGGGGGAUAGCUCGGCGAAAGCCGGAUUAAUACCGCAUACGCUCUGUGGAGGAAAGCGGGGGAUCUUCGGACCUCCCGCUCCAGGGGCGGCCGAUGGCAGAUUAGCUAGUUGGUGGGGUAAAGGCCUACCAAGGCGACGAUCUGUAGCUGGUCUGAGAGGACGACCAGCCCCACUGGGACUGAGACACGGCCCAGACUCCUACGGGAGGCAGCAGUGGGGAAUUUUGGACAAUGGGGGAAACCCUGAUCCAGCAAUGCCGCGUGUGUGAAGAAGGCCUUCGGGUUGUAAAGCACUUUUGUCCGGAAAGA